This 2872-nucleotide long non-coding RNA is filed under the name Junco hyemalis (dark-eyed junco). Its description in RNAcentral is "lncRNA (ENSJHYG00000013698.1)". The record is from RNAcentral. Lineage: Eukaryota; Metazoa; Chordata; Aves; Passeriformes; Passerellidae.
AGCUGAUUACACAACCCCAUCCUGGUAGUCGCACGUGUCUUCAAACAUCCCUGCCACCCCUCACAUGCAUCCCAGAUUAGGUAAUCUCAGUUUUGUAAUUAGUCUCUCACAUGGAGACGAGACCUCCCCUCCUGAUGCCUGGUCAACCUGGAGCCUUUAAAAAGCACUUCAAAGGCACCCAGUGAUGGGAGAUCUCUGGGUAGGGAGAUUUCACCUUCUGGAAGCAUGCUGGUGACAGAGGAGGUGUGUGCUGCAGCAGUCCCAGGAGCCACCAUGCCCCAGAAGCCUCAGCAGACAGAUUUCCAGCUGGUAAGAGUCAAGAGCACAUGGAGCCGCAUCAAGAAAGGAGAAACCCUCUCCAACAACGAUGAGGACGAGGUCACUCUCUCUGAGGCAACAAUAGGUGAGUGCAUCUCCGAAGGUGGGAUUUCCUGGAUUGUUGAAGCUCCCAUCUAUUUUUGCUACAAAGUGGUAGAAACAUACAACAUCCUGGAGCCCUCUAACACCACUCUGCUCUGGGGCCACAUCACUGACCCCCAGCAAACAGAGCUGGCCACAGCCAGCAAGAGGAAACUGCGGCGCUUCAUCGUCAUUGACGAAGUCGUCGACAAACUUUACGGCUCCAAAGUCAGAGAAUACUUCGAACAGAACAACGUCCAGCACAAAAUCCUCGCCCUGCCCACCACCGAGGAAACAAAAUCCAUGGACUUGGUGUUGAACAUCUUGCAUGAGGUGCAGAGCUUCAGCCUGGACCGGCGCACGGAGCCCAUCAUCGCCAUCGGCGGGGGCGUGUGCCUGGACAUCGUGGGGCUCGCCGCGUCGCUCUACAGGAGACGCACCCCCUACAUUCGGGUCCCCACCACCCUCCUCUCCUACGUGGAUGCCAGCGUGGGGGCCAAGAACGGAGUGAACUUUCUGCAGUGUAAGAACAAGCUCGGGGGCUACACCCCACCCGUGGCAAGUUUCCUGGACAGGUCCUUCCUCCAGAGCAUCCCUCGGCGACACAUCUCCAACGGCCUCGGGGAAAUUUUAAAGAUGGCCCUCAUGAAACACAAAGGGCUGUUUUACCUGCUCAAGAACCAUGGAAAAUACCUACUGGACACCAAGUUCCAGUCCUGCAACAGCUUUGCUCACCAUGGGGAUGCUGCACUGCAGACUACCAGGAUUGCCAUUGAAACCAUGCUGGAAGAGCUGGCUCCCAACCUCUGGGAGGAUGACCUGGACAGACUGGUUGAUUUUGGCCACCUUAUUAGCCCAGAGCUGGAAAUGAGGGUUCUGCCGUCACUGAUGCACGGGGAAGCCGUGAACAUCGACAUGGCCUUCAUGACGUACGUGGCCCACGCGCGCGGGCUGCUGGCCGCAGAGGACAAGGAGCAGAUCCUGCAGUGCAUGCGGGGCCUGGAGCUGCCGGUCUGGCACAGCGGCUGCAGCUGGGCCCUCAUCCAGAGAGCCCUGCGGGAGCGCCUCAAGCACAGCGGGGGACAGCUCCGGAUGCCCCUGCCCACAGGCCUCGGCGUGGCAGACAUAUUCAAUGACACCAGUGAAGAGACCCUGGAAAGAGCAUAUGAGCUGUGGGUCAAGGACUGCAAGAUGGGGCUGGAGGAAGAGCUGCAAGCCCAAGGUGACAGUCCUUCCCCAAGCCUGAGCUGUGUGCCACUGUAAGGCAGUGGGCAGAACUGAAUUUUGAACAAGAUAAAUCCAGAAACACCUGUGACACUUCAUACACUCCUGACCUGCGUGGAACAGCAGAAUAUUGGCACCUGACGUGAUUUGCCUUUUUCAAUUGCUUUGUUUGAAAGGGAAUAUAUUAUUGCUGAAGGAGUGAUUGUUCACAAGUGAAAUCACAGAGUGCCAGUAGUGUAGUUCAUAGCCUAUGGUCUUCUUUCAAGGAAAGUGAUCAGGAUUAUUCAUUUAUUUAGUUAAUCCAAGCUGGUAACUGCCAUGGCCCUUGCCACUGGUGUCCCACCAUUGCUUGUGCUUGCACCCCUGACACAAGCAGGUGUAGCUGGUUCAUAGACCAUGGUAUGGCACCUUGCAAAAUUUCUAUGCUAUAUAAAAUAUUUCAAGUAGGUUACCACCAUCACUAGUCAUUCUUUUCUUCUUGGUGUUAUUCUUGUUUUCUCUCACUGACAAGAUCAAAACAGAGAAGCUCAUCUGCCAGCCUUUGCACCCAGUCUAAGGGAAUGACACACCCUGAUUAGAGGCACCAUCACAAGUCACAGACCAGUAAAUUUUGCUGCUGUGGAGCACAUGGGGACUGUCUCCUGGCAGUGUCAUAGUCUUUUGUCUUGGGACACUCAGAUACUGAGAACAUGCUGGCAAAUCUCCUCUUCCUGCCCAAAUGUUUGUGGUGGUUUCACUUUGUAACCCCUGCAAGCCAAGGGGGUGACAAACAGGGCACGGUUUGCAGCACUGCUGCCUAAAAACAAAGCGGGGCUCCUGGCAAUACUGCAGAACCCCCUGGUGUCCCCACAUCUGCCACAGGGCUCCUCCUACCUGCCAGACCCUGGCUCCUUUCCCAUCUCAGCCUCUUCUGGUUAGAUAAGGGCAGCUGGGGAAAAUCAAGAGAAAUUAGAGGACUCCAAGCAAGUUCAUCAUCUUCAAGCAGCUUCACUGUCAUAUCUCAGGAUCCUGGCAGACUCUGAGCAGAUUAUAUAAUGGACGCUGAUGGUGAAAAAUGGAAAAGUAAUGUCAUCCUUCUCCCUGGAGGUCCAAUCAAAGGAAUUGCAAUCAACAAACAGCCUUUGAAUUAUUUACAACAUUAUUUGUUUUUUCCUCUGGUGUUUUUGUCCCACACCAGUUUGUGCUGAUGUGCUGGCUUCUGUUUUGCUGAAGUAAUAAAAGCUACUAAAAUUGAAAAAUUUUUGAACUA